RNAcentral lists this ribosomal RNA (1476 nucleotides) under uncultured bacterium. Its description in RNAcentral is "partial 16S ribosomal RNA". It matches the Rfam family "Bacterial small subunit ribosomal RNA". The record is from RNAcentral.
AGAGUUUGAUCCUGGCUCAGAUUGAACGCUGGCGGCAGGCUUAACACAUGCAAGUCGAGCGGGGAAAGGUAGCUUGCUACCUGACCUAGCGGCGGGCGGGGNNNNNNNNNNNNNNNNNNNNNNNNNNNNNNNNGGACAACAUCUCGAAAGGGAUGCUAAUACCGCAUACGUCCUACGGGGGAAAGCAGGGGAUCUUCGGACCUUGCGCUAAUAGAUGAGCCUAAGUCGGAUUAGCUAGUUGGUGGGGUAAAGGCCUACCAAGGCGACGAUCUGUAGCCGGUCUGAGAUGAUGUCCGGCCGCGAUGGGACUGAGAUACGGCCCAUACUCCUACGGGAGGCGGCGGUGGGGAAUCUUGCGCAAUGGACGAAAGUCUGACGGAGCAACGCCGCAUGUAUGAUGAAGGUCUUCGGAUUGUAAAGUACUGUCGUUGGGGAAGAAUGGUUUGACGGUACCGUCGGAGGAAGCAACGGCUAACUCCGUGCCAGCAGCCGCGGUAAUACGUAGGUGGCAAACGUUGUCCGGAAUUACUGGGCGUAAAGGGCGCGUAGGCGGAUCAUUAAGUCCGGUGUGAAAGAUCAGGGCUCAACCCUGAGAGUGCAUCGGAAACUGGUGAUCUUGAGGACAGGAGAGGAAAGUGGAAUUCCUAGUGUAGCGGUGAAAUGCGUAGAUAUUAGGAGGAACACCAGUGGCGAAGGCGACUUUCUGGCUUGUAACUGACACUGAGGCGCGAAAGCGUGGGGAGCAAACAGGAUUAGAUACCCUGGUAGUCCACGCCGUAAACGAUGAGUGCUAGGUGUCGGAGGUAGCAAUACCUUCUGCCGCAGUGAACACAAUAAGCACCCCGCCUGGGGAGUACGGUCGCAAGACUAAAACUCAAAGGAAUUGACGGGGGCCCGCACAAGCGGUGGAGCAUGUGGUUUAAUUCGACGCAACGCGAAGAACCUUACCAGGGCUUGACAUCCUCGGAAUUUUGGGGAAACUCGGGAGUGACCGAAGGAGAUCCAAGACAGGUGGUGCAUGGUUGUCGUCAGCUCGUGUCGUGAGAUGUUGGGUUAAGUCCCGCAACGAGCGCAACCCUUGCAGCCAGUUGCCAGCAUUUAGUUGGGCACUCUGUCGAGACUGCCGUUGUUAAAACGGAGGAAGGUGGGGAUGACGUCAAAUCAUCAUGCCCCUUAUGUCUUGGGCUACACACGUACUACAAUGGCCUGAACAGAGGGAAGCAAAACUGCGAAGUUAAGCGAAUCCCUUAAAACAGGUCCCAGUUCGGAUUGCAGGCUGCAACUCGCCUGCAUGAAGUCGGAAUCGCUAGUAAUCGCAGGUCAGCAUACUGCGGUGAAUACGUUCCCGGGCCUUGUACACACCGCCCGUCACACCACGAAAGUCGGCAACACCCGAAGCCGGUGAGGUAACCCGAAAGGGAGCUAGCCGUCGAAGGUGGGGCCGAUAAUUGGGGUGAAGUCGUAACAAGGUAACCU